GAAGGUUUUAUUACAGUGGUUAAGAUGGAUUUUCAUUGUGUUCCAUAGUGUUUAUUGCUCCCUAUCGGAGCUUUCUGGUCGUUAGAAAGACUGUACGGAAACAGGAAGUAGAGUAGUCGUUCUGCACGCAGAGAAGCAGCUAAAAACAAAGCUACGGUGCAGGGCUUUCAGUGCAGUUAUUUCUUGUCACGAUUCAGCCUCAGAAAAUAUUUGUUUAUGAACGUGAUGCCUUCAGGCAUUUGGAAAUUGCUCCCAAGGAUGAACCAGACUUGUGGAGGUCUACAAAAAAAAAUCCUGAUCGUUUUAUAUUUUCCCAUGAUGUUAAGCAAAGAGGCACUGAGUUUGAAGGUAGGCCUUGAAAUACAUCCACAGGUACACCUUCAAUUGACUCAAAUGAGGUCAAUUAGCCUAUCAGAAGCUUCUAGAGCCAUGACAUAAUUUUCCAAGCUGUUCAAAGGCACAGUCAACUUUGUGUAUGUUAACUUCUGAACCACUGGAUUUGUGAUACAGUGAAUUAUACGUGAAAUAGUCUGUCUGUAAACAAUUGUUGGAAAAAUGUGUUGUGACAUGCACAAAGUAGAUGUCCUAACCGACUUGCCAAAACUAUAGUUUGUUAACAAGAAAUUUGUGGAGUGGUUGAAGUUUUAAUGACUCCAACCUAAGUGUAUGUAAACUUCCGACUUCAACUGUAUGUGACCAAUAAAAUGUGAUUGGAUUUGA
Long non-coding RNA from Oncorhynchus nerka (sockeye salmon), 720 nucleotides. RefSeq lists it as uncharacterized. The record is from RefSeq and is a predicted model, not a curated record. Lineage: Eukaryota; Metazoa; Chordata; Actinopteri; Salmoniformes; Salmonidae. The transcript has 2 exons.